Long non-coding RNA from Nomascus leucogenys (northern white-cheeked gibbon), 760 nucleotides. RefSeq lists it as uncharacterized. NCBI's taxonomy places the organism in Eukaryota, Metazoa, Chordata, Mammalia, Primates, Hylobatidae. The transcript is spliced from 5 exons. The record is from RefSeq and is a predicted model, not a curated record.
AGCUGCUCUCGGCUCGUCGGUCGCGGCGCCCGCAGUCUGGAGGCGCACCGGAGCGGCCGGGGCGCCCCCCGCGGGAGCCCGCAGCCACCCGGGACGCGCAUCCAGCCGUGGCGCUUCGGGCCGGGCACGCUGCGUCCGGGGGCUCGGAGGACCCCGCGUAGCCGCCGCUUCGGAGCCUGUGCGGCGCGGGCUGGCCAGCGGGGUGGCCAGGGCCCGGCCCGCCUCCCCAGCGCCCGCCCGGCUUCUCCCCCUGGCGGUGGGAGCCUCGGCGGCCGCUGGCGACACUAGGCGCACUGAAGCCCGAGCCGAGCCGAGCCCGAGCCGCCGCAGCCGCCGCUGCUGCGCGCCGCUCCCGGGCUCCCUCCCAGCGCGCCGGCCGGGGUGUGGGGGGCGGCGGGCCGGAGGGCUGAGGGCGGGCCAGGGGGCGCACACGGGGGUUGGCGCGGAAGACAGGACCCUCAGCCUCGAGGGAGCCCCUAGGUGACCAGGCAAAAUGACAGUUCCCUCCAGCUGGUCCUCAGAUGGGCACAUCUAUUAGCCUCUGCUCUUGUAAGAAGUUAGCUGCAGAACCCACGUGUGAAUCCUUGUAGGACUCUGGAGAAGAUCAAAUGGGAGCUUGGAUGUGGAAGCUCUUUGGAAACCAAGAAGCACUCUGCAAAUGAAAAGGGAACAGUUUGUGGACUGGCACUGGCCCUUGGACCACACUUCGAGUGACAUUGUUAUAGAUGACACGGUCUCUUAUAGGAAAAUGCACAGUCUU